RNAcentral lists this transfer RNA (72 nucleotides) under Phrynosoma platyrhinos (Desert horned lizard). RNAcentral describes it as "tRNA-OTHER". Lineage: Eukaryota; Metazoa; Chordata; Lepidosauria; Squamata; Phrynosomatidae. The record is from RNAcentral.
GUUAGCAUGUUGUAGUGCUUUGAGUGUUAGACUAUGACUCUGGAGACCAGGGUUCGAUUCCCAGUUCAGCCA